Molecule: ribosomal RNA, 253 nt
Filed under: uncultured bacterium
Lineage: Bacteria
Description: partial 16S ribosomal RNA
Rfam family: Bacterial small subunit ribosomal RNA
Source: RNAcentral
UACAGAGGUGGCAAGCGUUGUUCGGAAUUACUGGGCGUAAAGAGCUCGUAGGCGGUUUGUCGCGUCUGCUGUGAAAAUCCAGGGCUUAACCCUGGACCUGCAGUGGGUACGGGCAGACUGGAGUGCGGUAGGGGAGAUCGGAAUUCCUGGUGUAGCGGUGAAAUGCGCAGAUAUCAGGAGGAACACCGGUGGCGAAGGCGGAUCUCUGGGCCGUAACUGACGCUGAGGAGCGAAAGCAUGGGGAGCGAACAGG